Molecule: ribosomal RNA, 932 nt
Filed under: Salmonella enterica subsp. enterica serovar Saintpaul
Lineage: Bacteria; Pseudomonadati; Pseudomonadota; Gammaproteobacteria; Enterobacterales; Enterobacteriaceae
Description: partial 23S ribosomal RNA
Rfam family: Bacterial large subunit ribosomal RNA
Source: RNAcentral
AGACCCGAAACCCGGUGAUCUAGCCAUGGGCAGGUUGAAGGUUGGGUAACACUAACUGGAGGACCGAACCGACUAAUGUUGAAAAAUUAGCGGAUGACCUGUGGCUGGGGGUGAAAGGCCAAUCAAACCGGGAGAUAGCUGGUUCUCCCCGAAAGCUAUUUAGGUAGCGCCUCGUGAAUUCAUCUCCGGGGGUAGAGCACUGUUUCGGCUAGGGGGCCAUCCCGGCUUACCAACCCGAUGCAAACUGCGAAUACCGGAGAAUGUUAUCACGGGAGACACACGGCGGGUGCUAACGUCCGUCGUGAAGAGGGAAACAACCCAGACCGCCAGCUAAGGUCCCAAAGUCAUGGUUAAGUGGGAAACGAUGUGGGAAGGCCCAGACAGCCAGGAUGUUGGCUUAGAAGCAGCCAUCAUUUAAAGAAAGCGUAAUAGCUCACUGGUCGAGUCGGCCUGCGCGGAAGAUGUAACGGGGCUAAACCAUGCACCGAAGCUGCGGCAGCGAACGUAUCACUUAAAGCGAUUCAGCGGGUUACGAUUGACGGAGCGAAGCGACGUCAAAGCGUAUACAAAGUCGAGUCGGUUUAAGGAUACGUUCGUUGGGUAGGGGAGCGUUCUGUAAGCCCGUGAAGGUGGCCUGUGAGGGUUGCUGGAGGUAUCAGAAGUGCGAAUGCUGACAUAAGUAACGAUAAAGCGGGUGAAAAGCCCGCUCGCCGGAAGACCAAGGGUUCCUGUCCAACGUUAAUCGGGGCAGGGUGAGUCGACCCCUAAGGCGAGGCCGAAAGGCGUAGUCGAUGGGAAACGGGUUAAUAUUCCCGUACUUGGUGUUACUGCGAAGGGGGGACGGAGAAGGCUAUGUUGGCCGGGCGACGGUUGUCCCGGUUUAAGCGUGUAGGUGUGUGUUCCAGGUAAAUCCGGUUCACUUUAACACUGAG